ACAUGUGGCUACAAAAAUAUGUUGUAAUGCUCCAGAAUUAAUAUAUAGGGGAUUUUACGGAAAGUAAACUGAAUACCUGCUUUGGAAGACUAUAUACAAAAGGUUGGAAAUGAUAAAGUAUUAUAGAUUGGUCUAUACUAUGAGGCUUUAAAAUGAAGUUAUUGAUGAAGUUCAUUUUUAGACUAUGGGUAACAGAAUUAUGUACAGACAGAGUAUUAAACUUCAACAACUAUUUUGUGUCAUGGACUCAUGGGCAGUUACAGAAAAAAAACUUUCUUGGGAUAUACUCCAUCUGUUUCAGAAAGAUACAUAUUCUAGAAAAAAAAAUUUGUUUCAAAAUACAUUUUUUGUAUUUCUAAUGCAUUUUUAUUAACUAAUAAUGAUUAAUUGUAAACUUCAAAAAAAUUAAUUGCAUUUUUUGAAUUUUUAUUGGUUUAAAAUUAUAGAACAUAGAUAAUCACAGAAAAUUAUGCAAUUAAUAUUGAAAUUUAAUAUGUUUUAUUAAUCUGUGUGAAAAAAAACUAAAACAUGUAUCAUUUUGAAACGGGAUGAGUAUAGCGUAUAGGUCAUUAAACAUACCAAUAUUUCAGUAAUUCAAGUAAAUCCAAACAUACUAUAUUUUAGCGACAAAGAAAAUCUGUUUUUCAAAGCCUGAUUACAAAAAAAAACGAAAAUCUGUUUUUUGGUCAACAGAAAAUCUAAAUAUUAUAGGAAAUUAAAUAUAUGGAGAUUUUGUUUUGUCAACAUAUGGAAAUUACAUCUGCUGGCCAAAGAAUUCCAAAAAUAGAUUAUAUCAUAUAUAUAAAUAUAUACACUCAAGUGUUUUUCAACUAUUCAAUUAUUUUUCAUUCCCAAAUUCGAGAAAAAAAACUAGUUAAAAAAUGGCUUCAUACAAAUGUUUCGUUUUUGUGUUGUUGUGCCUAACCGUUCCCUUGAUCUCUUGUGCUGCGGAUACUUGCGAUUCACCCAGACAUGGUCUUUUUGUGAUAGGUCCUUGCUCAAAAAUUCCAAACUGCAAUAAUAAAUGCGUAGAAUUGCACUUUUCUGGCGGAGAAUGUUUUAAACAGUCCAGCAGCGCCACCGUACUAUCAUGUGGCUGUUGUGUAUAAAUUCAUAAUGUUAUCGAGAUAUUAAUUGUAUUGUGGAAGUGUUGGUGCUUUAAUUAAUAAAAAUAUAUAUUGUACUACUA
Molecule: long non-coding RNA, 1189 nt
Organism: Brassica napus (rape)
Lineage: Eukaryota; Viridiplantae; Streptophyta; Magnoliopsida; Brassicales; Brassicaceae
Exons: 2
Source: RefSeq, a predicted model, not a curated record